GAGCCCAAACCAGAAACUUGUUUCUGGGGUUGCGGAUAGAUCAUAAAAGAAGAGGUAUCUUAAUCGAAGAGGGCUGGAACGCCCUACCAUAGAAGGUAAUAGUCCUGUAGAUAAAAAGAGAAAACUUUAAGAUCUAAUCCAGAGUACCACGAGACACGUGAAACCUUGUGGGAAGCAGGGAGGACCACCUCCCAAGGCUAA
Molecule: ribosomal RNA, 201 nt
Filed under: Clostridium botulinum
Lineage: Bacteria; Bacillati; Bacillota; Clostridia; Eubacteriales; Clostridiaceae
Description: partial 23S ribosomal RNA
Rfam family: Bacterial large subunit ribosomal RNA
Source: RNAcentral